ACGAACGCUGGCGGCGUGCUUAACACAUGCAAGUCGAACGGAAAGGCCCUGCUUUUGUGGGGUGCUCGAGUGGCGAACGGGUGAGUAACACGUGAGUAACCUGCCCUUGACUUUGGGAUAACUUCAGGAAACUGGGGCUAAUACCGGAUAGGAGCUCCUGCUGCAUGGUGGGGGUUGGAAAGUUUCGGCGGUUGGGGAUGGACUCGCGGCUUAUCAGCUUGUUGGUGGGGUAGUGGCUUACCAAGGCUUUGACGGGUAGCCGGCCUGAGAGGGUGACCGGCCACAUUGGGACUGAGAUAAGGCCCAGACUCCUACGGGAGGCAGCAGUGGGGAAUAUUGCACAAUUGGCGGAAGCCUGAUGCAGCAACGCCGCGUGCGGGAUGACGGCCUUCGGGUUGUAAACCGCUUUCGCCUGUGACGAAGCGUGAGUGACGGUAAUGGGUAAAGAAGCACCGGCUAACUACGUG
Molecule: ribosomal RNA, 467 nt
Filed under: uncultured bacterium
Lineage: Bacteria
Description: partial 16S ribosomal RNA
Rfam family: Bacterial small subunit ribosomal RNA
Source: RNAcentral